RNAcentral lists this ribosomal RNA (495 nucleotides) under uncultured bacterium. Its description in RNAcentral is "partial 16S ribosomal RNA". It matches the Rfam family "Bacterial small subunit ribosomal RNA", at positions 28 to 507 of the family's 1533-position model. The record is from RNAcentral.
GACGAACGCUGGCGGCGUGCCUAAUACAUGCAAGUAGAACGCUGAAGGAGGAGCUUGCUUCUCUGGAUGAGUUGCGAACGGGUGAGUAACGCGCAGGUAACCUGCCCGGUAGCGGGGGAUAACUAUUGGAAACGAUAGCUAAUACCGCAUAAUAGUAGAUGUUGCAUGACAUUUGCUUAAAAGGUGCAAUUGCAUCACUACCAGAUGGACCUGCGUUGUAUUAGCUAGUUGGUGAGGUAACGGCUCACCAAGGCAACGAUACAUAGCCGACCUGAGAGGGUGAUCGGCCACACUGGGACUGAGACACGGCCCAGACUCCUACGGGAGGCAGCAGUAGGGAAUCUUCGGCAAUGGACGGAAGUCUGACCGAGCAACGCCGCGUGAGUGAAGAAGGUUUUCGGAUCGUAAAGCUCUGUUGUAAGAGAAGAACGAGUGUGAGAGUGGAAAGUUCACACUGUGACGGUAUCUUACCAGAAAGGGACGGCUAACUACGUG